GAUGAACGCUGGCGGCGCGCCUAAUACAUGCAAGUCGAGCGAACAGAUGAGGAGCUUGCUCCUCUGACGUUAGCGGCGGACGGGUGAGUAACACGUGGAUAACCUACCUAUAAGACUGGGGUAACUUCGGGAAACCGGAGCUAAUACCGGAUAAUAUAUUGAACCGCAUGGUUCAAUAGUGAAAGACGGUUUUGCUGUCACUUAUAGAUGGAUCCGCGCCGCAUUAGCUAGUUGGUAAGGUAACGGCUUACCAAGGCAACGAUGCGUAGCCGACCUGAGAGGGUGAUCGGCCACACUGGAACUGAGACACGGUCCAGACUCCUACGGGAGGCAGCAGUAGGGAAUCUUCCGCAAUGGGCGAAAGCCUGACGGAGCAACGCCGCGUGAGUGAUGAAGGUCUUCGGAUCGUAAAACUCUGUUAUUAGGGAAGAACAAAUGUGUAAGUAACUAUGCACGUCUUGACGGUACCUAAUCAGAAAGCCACGGCUAACUACGUG
This 497-nucleotide ribosomal RNA is filed under the name uncultured bacterium. RNAcentral describes it as "partial 16S ribosomal RNA". It matches the Rfam family "Bacterial small subunit ribosomal RNA", at positions 28 to 507 of the family's 1533-position model. The record is from RNAcentral.